RNAcentral lists this ribosomal RNA (1077 nucleotides) under Salmonella enterica subsp. enterica serovar Stanley. Its description in RNAcentral is "partial 23S ribosomal RNA". It matches the Rfam family "Bacterial large subunit ribosomal RNA", at positions 1178 to 2236 of the family's 2925-position model. The record is from RNAcentral. Lineage: Bacteria; Pseudomonadati; Pseudomonadota; Gammaproteobacteria; Enterobacterales; Enterobacteriaceae.
GACGUCAAAGCGUUCAUUAAAGUCGAGUUGGCUUAGGGAUACGUUCGUUGGGUAGGGGAGCGUUCUGUAAGCCGUUGAAGGUGGCCUGUGAGGGUUGCUGGAGGUAUCAGAAGUGCGAAUGCUGACAUAAGUAACGAUAAAGCGGGUGAAAAGCCCGCUCGCCGGAAGACCAAGGGUUCCUGUCCAACGUUAAUCGGGGCAGGGUGAGUCGACCCCUAAGGCGAGGCCGAAAGGCGUAGUCGAUGGGAAACGGGUUAAUAUUCCCGUACUUGGUGUUACUGCGAAGGGGGGACGGAGAAGGCUAUGUUGGCCGGGCGACGGUUGUCCCGGUUUAAGCGUGUAGGUGUGUGUUCCAGGUAAAUCCGGUUCACUUUAACACUGAGGCGUGACGACGAGGCACUACGGUGCUGAAGCAACAAAUGCCCUGCUUCCAGGAAAAGCCUCUAAGCAUCAGGUAACAUCAAAUCGUACCCCAAACCGACACAGGUGGUCAGGUAGAGAAUACCAAGGCGCUUGAGAGAACUCGGGUGAAGGAACUAGGCAAAAUGGUGCCGUAACUUCGGGAGAAGGCACGCUGACACGUAGGUGAAGUGAUUUACUCAUGGAGCUGAAGUCAGUCGAAGAUACCAGCUGGCUGCAACUGUUUAUUAAAAACACAGCACUGUGCAAACACGAAAGUGGACGUAUACGGUGUGACGCCUGCCCGGUGCCGGAAGGUUAAUUGAUGGGGUCAGCGCAAGCGAAGCUCCUGAUCGAAGCCCCGGUAAACGGCGGCCGUAACUAUAACGGUCCUAAGGUAGCGAAAUUCCUUGUCGGGUAAGUUCCGACCUGCACGAAUGGCGUAAUGAUGGCCAGGCUGUCUCCACCCGAGACUCAGUGAAAUUGAACUCGCUGUGAAGAUGCAGUGUACCCGCGGCAAGACGGAAAGACCCCGUGAACCUUUACUAUAGCUUGACACUGAACAUUGAGCCUUGAUGUGUAGGAUAGGUGGGAGGCUUUGAAGCGUGGACGCCAGUCUGCGUGGAGCCGACCUUGAAAUACCACCCUUUAAUGUUUGAUGUUCUAACGUGGACCCGU